CCUACGGGAGGCUGCAGUGGGGAAUAUUGGACAAUGGGGGGAACCCUGAUCCAGCCAUGCCGCGUGUGUGAAGAAGGCCCUCGGGUUGUAAAGCACUUUCAGUGAGGAAGAACGCCUGGUGGUUAAUACCCAUCAGGAAAGACAUCACUCACAGAAGAAGCACCGGCUAACUCUGUGCCAGCAGCCGCGGUAAUACGGAGGGUGCGAGCGUUAAUCGGAAUUACUGGGCGUAAAGCGCGCGUAGGUGGCUUGAUAAGCCGGUUGUGAAAGCCCCGGGCUCAACCUGGGAACGGCAUCCGGAACUGUCAAGCUAGAGUGCAGGAGAGGAAGGGAGAAUUCCCGGUGUAGCGGUGAAAUGCGUAGAGAUCGGGAGGAAUACCAGUGGCGAAGGCGGCCUUCUGGACUGACACUGACACUGAGGUGCGAAAGCGUGGGUAGCAAACAGGAUUAGAUACCCUAGUAGUC
This 465-nucleotide ribosomal RNA is filed under the name Vreelandella stevensii. Its description in RNAcentral is "partial 16S ribosomal RNA". It matches the Rfam family "Bacterial small subunit ribosomal RNA", at positions 338 to 795 of the family's 1533-position model. The record is from RNAcentral. Lineage: Bacteria; Pseudomonadati; Pseudomonadota; Gammaproteobacteria; Oceanospirillales; Halomonadaceae.